Molecule: ribosomal RNA, 649 nt
Filed under: Escherichia coli
Lineage: Bacteria; Pseudomonadati; Pseudomonadota; Gammaproteobacteria; Enterobacterales; Enterobacteriaceae
Description: partial 23S ribosomal RNA
Rfam family: Bacterial large subunit ribosomal RNA
Source: RNAcentral
AAAAAGAACCUGAAACCGUGUACGUACAAGCAGUGGGAGCACGCUUAGGCGUGUGACUGCGUACCUUUUGUAUAAUGGGUCAGCGACUUAUAUUCUGUAGCAAGGUUAACCGAAUAGGGGAGCCGAAGGGAAACCGAGUCUUAACUGGGCGUUAAGUUGCAGGGUAUAGACCCGAAACCCGGUGAUCUAGCCAUGGGCAGGUUGAAGGUUGGGUAACACUAACUGGAGGACCGAACCGACUAAUGUUGAAAAAUUAGCGGAUGACUUGUGGCUGGGGGUGAAAGGCCAAUCAAACCGGGAGAUAGCUGGUUCUCCCCGAAAGCUAUUUAGGUAGCGCCUCGUGAAUUCAUCUCCGGGGGUAGAGCACUGUUUCGGCAAGGGGGUCAUCCCGACUUACCAACCCGAUGCAAACUGCGAAUACCGGAGAAUGUUAUCACGGGAGACACACGGCGGGUGCUAACGUCCGUCGUGAAGAGGGAAACAACCCAGACCGCCAGCUAAGGUCCCAAAGUCAUGGUUAAGUGGGAAACGAUGUGGGAAGGCCCAGACAGCCAGGAUGUUGGCUUAGAAGCAGCCAUCAUUUAAAGAAAGCGUAAUAGCUCACUGGUCGAGUCGGCCUGCGCGGAAGAUGUAACGGGGCUAAACCAUG